Molecule: ribosomal RNA, 120 nt
Filed under: Pteropus vampyrus (large flying fox)
Lineage: Eukaryota; Metazoa; Chordata; Mammalia; Chiroptera; Pteropodidae
Source: RNAcentral
CUUCAAAAGAAUGGGCAAUAUUUGGUGUCCGAUCUUGUCUGAUCUUGGAAGCUAAGCAGUGUCGGGCCUGGUUAGUACCUGAAUGAGAGACCACCUAAGAAUACCAGGUGCUGUAGGAGU